GACGAACGCUGGCGGCGUGCUUAACACAUGCAAGUCGAACGGAAAGGCCCUGCUUUUGUGGGGUGCUCGAGUGGCGAACGGGUGAGUAACACGUGAGUAACCUGCCCUUGACUUGGGAUAACUUCAGGAAACUGGGGCUAAUACCGGAUAGGAGCUCCUGCUGCAUGGUGGGGGUUGGAAAGUUUCGGCGGUUGGGGAUGGACUCGCGGCUUAUCAGCUUGUUGGUGGGGUAGUGGCUUACCAAGGCUUUGACGGGUAGCCGGCCUGAGAGGGUGAUCGGCCACAUUGGGACUGAGAUACGGCCCAGACUCCUACGGGAGGCAGCAGUGGGGAAUAUUGCACAAUGGGCGGAAGCCUGAUGCAGCAACGCCGCGUGCGGGAUGACGGCCUUCGGGUUGUAAACCGCUUUCGCCUGUGACGAAGCGUGAGUGACGGUAAUGGGUAAAGAAGCACCGGCUAACUACGUG
Molecule: ribosomal RNA, 467 nt
Filed under: uncultured bacterium
Lineage: Bacteria
Description: partial 16S ribosomal RNA
Rfam family: Bacterial small subunit ribosomal RNA
Source: RNAcentral